This 373-nucleotide ribosomal RNA is filed under the name uncultured organism. Its description in RNAcentral is "bacterial SSU rRNA". It matches the Rfam family "Bacterial small subunit ribosomal RNA", at positions 526 to 896 of the family's 1533-position model. The record is from RNAcentral.
CGUAGGGGGCGAGCGUUGUCCGGAUUUACUGGGCGUAAAGCGCGUGUAGGCGGUCCAUUAAGUUGGGUGUGAAAGCCCGGGGGCUCAACCCCGGGAUGCCGCCCAAGACUGGUGGACUUGAGGCUGGAAGAGGGGAGUGGAAUUCCUGGUGUAGCGGUGAAAUGCGUAGAGAUCAGGAGGAACACCCGUGGCGAAGGCGGCUCCCCGGUCCGGUUCUGACGCUGAGACGCGAAAGCGCGGGGAGCGAACGGGAUUAGAUACCCCGGUAGUCCGCGCCGUAAACGAUGGUCACUAGGUGUGCGUGGUAUCGACCCCACGCGUGCCGGCGCUAACGCAUUAAGUCCGCCGCCUGGGGACUACGGCCGCAAGGCUA